CCUACGGGCGGCAGCAGUGGGGAAUAUUGCACAAUGGGGGAAACCCUGAUGCAGCGACGCCGCGUGAGUGAAGAAGUAAUUCGUUAUGUAAAGCUCUAUCAGCAGGGAAGAAAAUGACGGUACCUGACCAAGAAGCCCCGGCUAAAUACGUGCCAGCAGCCGCGGUAAUACGUAUGGGGCAAGCGUUAUCCGGAUUUACUGGGGGUAAAGGGAGCGGAGGCGGCAGGGCAAGCCUGAUGUGAAAGCCCGGGGCUCAACCCCGGGACUGCAUGGGGAACUGCCCAGCUCGAGUGCCGGAGGGGCAGGCGGAAUUCCUAGUGUAGCGGUGAAAUGGGUAGAUAUUAGGAGGAACACCAGUGGCGAAGGCGGCCUGCUGGACGGUGGACUGACGCUGAGGCUCGAAAGCGUGGGGAGCAAACAGGAUUAGAUACCCCGGUAGUC
This 441-nucleotide ribosomal RNA is filed under the name uncultured bacterium. Its description in RNAcentral is "partial 16S ribosomal RNA". It matches the Rfam family "Bacterial small subunit ribosomal RNA", at positions 338 to 795 of the family's 1533-position model. The record is from RNAcentral.